GACGAACGCUGGCGGCGUGCUUAACACAUGCAAGUCGAAACGAGGUAGCAAAUACCCUAGUGGCGGACGGGUGAGUAAACACGUAGGUAACCUGCCCAAUCGUGGGGGAUACCCAGCCGAAAGGUUGGCUAAUACCGCAUAAGCUUGUUGGUUGAAAUACCGAUAAGGAAAGAUUUAUCGCGAAUGGAGGGGCCUGGGUCCGAUUAGCUAGUUGGUGAGGUAAUGGCUCACCAAGGCGACGAUCGGUAGCUGGUCUGAGAGGACGAUCAGCCACACUGGAACUGAGACACGGUCCAGACUCCUACGGGAGGCAGCAGUGGGGAAUUUUCCGCAAUGGGCGAAAGCCUGACGGAGCAACGCCGCGUGGAUGAU
Molecule: ribosomal RNA, 372 nt
Filed under: uncultured bacterium
Lineage: Bacteria
Description: bacterial SSU rRNA
Rfam family: Bacterial small subunit ribosomal RNA
Source: RNAcentral